UACGAGGGGGGCAAGCGUUGUUCGGAAUUAUUGGGCGUAAAGGGCGCGUAGGCGGUGCGGUAAGUCACCUGUGAAACCUCUAGGCUUAACCUAGAGCCUGCAGGCGAAACUGCCGUGCUUGAGGGUGGGAGAGGUGCGUGGAAUUCCCGGUGUAGCGGUGAAAUGCGUAGAUAUUGGGAAGAACACCGGUGGCGAAGGCGGCGACCUGGUCCUUGACUGACGCUGAGGCGCGAAAGCGUGGGGAGCAAACAGG
RNAcentral lists this ribosomal RNA (253 nucleotides) under uncultured bacterium. Its description in RNAcentral is "partial 16S ribosomal RNA". It matches the Rfam family "Bacterial small subunit ribosomal RNA", at positions 524 to 776 of the family's 1533-position model. The record is from RNAcentral.